Molecule: ribosomal RNA, 370 nt
Filed under: uncultured eukaryote
Lineage: Eukaryota
Description: partial 18S ribosomal RNA
Rfam family: Eukaryotic small subunit ribosomal RNA
Source: RNAcentral
CAAUAGCGUAUAUUAAAGUUGUUGCAGUUAAAAAGCUCGUAGUUGAAAUUUUAGUCUGUUGAAGCCAUUGCAUUCUGCAUAUGGCACAACAGACUAAUACUCGCAAAGAUGCCUCCGCUUAUUAGUUUGGGCGGUUGUGGAGUUGCGUCGUUUACUGUGAACAAAUUAGGGUGUUUAAAGCAGACCUCAGUUUGAAUACAUUAGCAUGGAAUAAUAAGAUAUGACUUUGGUUGUAUUUUGUUGGUGACCACCGAAGUAAUGAUUGAUAGAAACUGUUGUGGGUAUUCGUAUGAGCAUGUCAGAGGUGAAAUUCUUGGAUUUUGAUCAGACGAACUACUGCGAAAGCAUUUACCAAGGAUGUUUUCAUUAA